GGAGCCAAGAUGGCCGAAUAGGAACAGCUCCGGUCUACAGCUCCCAGCGCGAGCGACGCAGAAGACGGGUGAUUUCUGCAUUUCCAUCUCAGCUACUAAAUGCUCAAGCGGACAAUGAAAGAGAUUAACACUGGGUUCCAGUAUGGUGCCAUCGUUUGAGGAGACCAACCAGUUACCGGGAGAUGGAGUCUCGCUCUGUCACCAGGCUGGAACGCAAUGGCGUGAUCUGGGCUCAUUGCAACCUUCACCUCCCGGGUUCAUGUGAUUCUCCUGCCUCAGCCUCAGGUUUCUCCUCAGGCCUGCUACAGUGGAGCGGGUGUGGAGAUGCAAGAACUAGAGCUGCUGGGUGGCAAGGAGUCAGCGUCUUGGAGGCUUGUGGUUACACCUGAGGAGUAUCUCACUAAAGGCUUUCACGUUUUGGAAAAUAUAAUAAGGUCUUAGAAGCUUAAUUCCAAUUCAGUAUAUUUAUAAAAUCUCUUAUUUUUUGAGGCUAAGGAAAGAGUUCAUUGGCUAUAAAUUAUGAAUGACGAGAAAAGGCUAGCCUUGAGGAAAUCUGGGGAAGAUAAUUCUAGACAGAAGGAGCAGCAAGGGCAAAGAUUGGGGGAGCAGUAAUGAGUUGGAAAUGUCUGAAGGAAAGAAUAAAAGUCAGGAUGGCUGGAGCCCAGUGACUGAU
RNA transcript from Pongo pygmaeus (Bornean orangutan), 673 nucleotides. RefSeq lists it as uncharacterized. The transcript has 4 exons. The record is from RefSeq and is a predicted model, not a curated record. Lineage: Eukaryota; Metazoa; Chordata; Mammalia; Primates; Hominidae.